AUGUGGGUGGCUCAAUGGUUGAGCGUCUGACUUCAGCUCAGGUCAUGAUCCCAGGAUCGAGUCCCACAUC
Molecule: transfer RNA, 70 nt
Filed under: Canis lupus familiaris (dog)
Lineage: Eukaryota; Metazoa; Chordata; Mammalia; Carnivora; Canidae
Also listed under: 1 other name
Rfam family: tRNA
About the family: Transfer RNA (tRNA) molecules are approximately 80 nucleotides in length. Their secondary structure includes four short double-helical elements and three loops (D, anti-codon, and T loops).
Source: Rfam by way of RNAcentral